GACGAACGCUGGCGGCGUGCCUAAUACAUGCAAGUAGGACGCAGUUGCGAACGGGUGAGUAACGCGUAGGUAACUACCUAUUAGAGGGGGAUAACUAUUGGAAACGAUAGCUAAUACCGCAUACUAGUAGAUGGAUCUGCGUUGUAUUAGUUAGUAGGUAGGGUAAUGGCCUACCUAGGCAACGAUACAUAGCCGACCUGGGGGGGUGAUCGGCCACACUGGGAAUGGGACACGGCCCAGACUCCUACGGGAGGCAGCAAUAGGGGAACUUCGGCAAAGGGGGGAACCCUGGCCGGGCAACGCCGCGUGGGUGGAGAAGGUUUUCGGAUCGUAAAGCUCUGUUGUUAAGGGAGCGGUACUUAACCAGAAAGGGACGGCUAACUACGUGCCAGCAGCCGCGGUAAUUC
RNAcentral lists this ribosomal RNA (407 nucleotides) under uncultured bacterium. RNAcentral describes it as "partial 16S ribosomal RNA". It matches the Rfam family "Bacterial small subunit ribosomal RNA", at positions 28 to 526 of the family's 1533-position model. The record is from RNAcentral.